This 107-nucleotide small RNA is filed under the name Marmota monax (woodchuck). The record is from RNAcentral. Lineage: Eukaryota; Metazoa; Chordata; Mammalia; Rodentia; Sciuridae.
GCCAGGUGCGGUGGUGCACACCUGCAGUCCCAGCGACUCGGGAGGCUGAGGCAGGAGGAUCACAAAUUCGAGGCCAGCCUCAGCAAUUUAGUGAGACUCUGUUUCAG